Molecule: long non-coding RNA, 345 nt
Organism: Solanum tuberosum (potato)
Lineage: Eukaryota; Viridiplantae; Streptophyta; Magnoliopsida; Solanales; Solanaceae
Exons: 3
Source: RefSeq, a predicted model, not a curated record
GUUCAUAUAUAGUGCUUUUAACUACAACCAAAGCAACACAUCAAUGACAACUUCAAAAAGAGUUGCAGAGAAGAAAGUGGCUAAGUUUGAAAAGAACAUAACAAAGAGGGGAAUAUUGCAAAAUCAAAGAGGCAACAAAGGAUUUGAGCCAAUUCAUAUUUUUCUUGUUCUCUUUGCUGUUUUAUUCAUUGGAUCUUUUAUUUUCCAGGUUGUGAGGAUGGCACUUAAUGGUGGAUUGCUACCAAGAUAGAUGGAGUAUAUGGAAUACAUCGCCUUCAUUUCAAUGUAUUUGUCUUACGUUCUUUUUAAUACAAUUUAUAAAAAUGUCGCCUUUCUAUUCAAUAA